GGGUUGUGAGGUUAAGCGACUAAGCGUACACGGUGGAUGCCCUGGCAGUCAGAGGCGAUGAAGGACGUGCUAAUCUGCGAAAAGCGUCGGUAAGGUGAUAUGAACCGUUACAGCCGGCGAUGUCCGAAUGGGGAAACCCAGUGCAAUUCGUUGCACUAUCGUUAACUGAAUACAUAGGUUAACGAGGCGAACCGGGGGAACUGAAACAUCUAAGUACCCCGAGGAAAAGAAAUCAACCGAGAUUCCCCCAGUAGCGGCGAGCGAACGGGGAGCAGCCCAGAGUCUGAAUCAGCUUGUGUGUUAGUGGAACGGUCUGGAAAGUCCGACGGUACAGGGUGAUAGUCCCGUACACCAAAAUGCACAGGUUGUGAACUCGAAGAGUAGGGCGGGACACGUGGUAUCCUGUCUGAAUAUGGGGGGACCAUCCUCCAAGGCUAAAUACUCCUGACUGACCGAUAGUGAACCAGUACCGUGAGGGAAAGGCGAAAAGAACCCCGGCGAGGGGAGUGAAAAAGAACCUGAAACCGUGUACGUACAAGCAGUGGGAGCACCUUCGGGUGUGACUGCGUACCUUUUGUAUAAUGGGUCAGCGACUUAUAUUCUGUAGCAAGGUUAACCGUAUAGGGGAGCCGCAGGGAAACCGAGUCUUAACUGGGCGUUAAGUUGCAGGGUAUAGACCCGAAACCCGGUGAUCUAGCCAUGGGCAGGUUGAAGGUUGGGUAACACUAACUGGAGGACCGAACCGACUAAUGUUGAAAAAUUAGCGGAUGACUUGUGGCUGGGGGUGAAAGGCCAAUCAAACCGGGAGAUAGCUGGUUCUCCCCGAAAGCUAUUUAGGUAGCGCCUCGUGAACUCAUCUUCGGGGUAGAGCACUGUUUCGGCUAGGGGGUCAUCCCGACUUACCAACCCGAUGCAAACUACGAAUACCGAAGAAUGUUAUCACGGGAGACACACGGCGGGUGCUAACGUCCGUCGUGAAGAGGGAAACAACCCAGACCGCCAGCUAAGGUCCCAAAGUCAUGGUUAAGUGGGAAACGAUGUGGGAAGGCACAGACAGCCAGGAUGUUGGCUUAGAAGCAGCCAUCAUUUAAAGAAAGCGUAAUAGCUCACUGGUCGAGUCGGCCUGCGCGGAAGAUGUAACGGGGCUAAACCAUGCACCGAAGCUGCGGCAGCGACACUAUGUGUUGUUGGGUAGGGGAGCGUUCUGUAAGCCUGCGAAGGUGUGCUGUGAGGCAUGCUGGAGGUAUCAGAAGUGCGAAUGCUGACAUAAGUAACGAUAAAGCGGGUGAAAAGCCCGCUCGCCGGAAGACCAAGGGUUCCUGUCCAACGUUAAUCGGGGCAGGGUGAGUCGACCCCUAAGGCGAGGCCGAAAGGCGUAGUCGAUGGGAAACAGGUUAAUAUUCCUGUACUUGGUGUUACUGCGAAGGGGGGACGGAGAAGGCUAUGUUAGCCGGGCGACGGUUGUCCCGGUUUAAGCAUGUAGGCUGGUUAUCCAGGCAAAUCCGGAUAAUCAAGGCUGAGGUGUGAUGACGAGGCACUACGGUGCUGAAGUAACAAAUGCCCUGCUUCCAGGAAAAGCCUCUAAGCAUCAGGUAACAUCAAAUCGUACCCCAAACCGACACAGGUGGUCAGGUAGAGAAUACCAAGGCGCUUGAGAGAACUCGGGUGAAGGAACUAGGCAAAAUGGUGCCGUAACUUCGGGAGAAGGCACGCUGGUGUGUAGGUGAAGUCCCUGCGGAUGGAGCUGAGACCAGUCGAAGAUACCAGCUGGCUGCAACUGUUUAUUAAAAACACAGCACUGUGCAAACACGAAAGUGGACGUAUACGGUGUGACGCCUGCCCGGUGCCGGAAGGUUAAUUGAUGGGGUUAUCCGUAAGGAGAAGCUCUUGAUCGAAGCCCCGGUAAACGGCGGCCGUAACUAUAACGGUCCUAAGGUAGCGAAAUUCCUUGUCGGGUAAGUUCCGACCUGCACGAAUGGCGUAAUGAUGGCCAGGCUGUCUCCACCCGAGACUCAGUGAAAUUGAACUCGCUGUGAAGAUGCAGUGUACCCGCGGCAAGACGGAAAGACCCCGUGAACCUUUACUAUAGCUUGACACUGAACAUUGAGCCUUGAUGUGUAGGAUAGGUGGGAGGCUUUGAAGCGUGGACGCCAGUCUGCGUGGAGCCAACCUUGAAAUACCACCCUUUAAUGUUUGAUGUUCUAACGUUGGCCCCUGACCGGGGUUGCGGACAGUGUCUGGUGGGUAGUUUGACUGGGGCGGUCUCCUCCCAAAGCGUAACGGAGGAGCACGAAGGUUAGCUAAUCCUGGUCGGACAUCAGGAGGUUAGUGCAAUGGCAUAAGCUAGCUUGACUGCGAGCGUGACGGCGCGAGCAGGUGCGAAAGCAGGUCAUAGUGAUCCGGUGGUUCUGAAUGGAAGGGCCAUCGCUCAACGGAUAAAAGGUACUCCGGGGAUAACAGGCUGAUACCGCCCAAGAGUUCAUAUCGACGGCGGUGUUUGGCACCUCGAUGUCGGCUCAUCACAUCCUGGGGCUGAAGUAGGUCCCAAGGGUAUGGCUGUUCGCCAUUUAAAGUGGUACGCGAGCUGGGUUUAGAACGUCGUGAGACAGUUCGGUCCCUAUCUGCCGUGGGCGCUGGAGAAUUGAGGGGGGCUGCUCCUAGUACGAGAGGACCGGAGUGGACGCAUCACUGGUGUUCGGGUUGUCAUGCCAAUGGCACUGCCCGGUAGCUAAAUGCGGAAGAGAUAAGUGCUGAAAGCAUCUAAGCACGAAACUUGCCCCGAGAUGAGUUCUCCCUGAGACUAUAAGUCUCCUGAAGGAACGUUAAAGACGAUGACGUUGAUAGGCCGGGUGUGUAAGCGCAGCGAUGCGUUGAGCUAACCGGUACUAAUGAACCGUGAGGCUUAACCUUACAACGCCGAAG
This 2922-nucleotide ribosomal RNA is filed under the name Klebsiella pneumoniae. Its description in RNAcentral is "bacterial LSU rRNA". It matches the Rfam family "Bacterial large subunit ribosomal RNA". Lineage: Bacteria; Pseudomonadati; Pseudomonadota; Gammaproteobacteria; Enterobacterales; Enterobacteriaceae. The record is from RNAcentral.